GCUCAGUUGGUAAAGCACAAGGCUCUUAACCUUGUGGACGUGGAUUUAAGUCCCAU
Molecule: non-coding RNA, 56 nt
Organism: Triticum aestivum (bread wheat)
Lineage: Eukaryota; Viridiplantae; Streptophyta; Magnoliopsida; Poales; Poaceae
Source: Rfam